RNAcentral lists this transfer RNA (73 nucleotides) under bacterium. Its description in RNAcentral is "tRNA-Lys". It matches the Rfam family "tRNA". Rfam says of the family: Transfer RNA (tRNA) molecules are approximately 80 nucleotides in length. Their secondary structure includes four short double-helical elements and three loops (D, anti-codon, and T loops). The record is from RNAcentral.
GGGUGAUUAGCUUAGUUGGUAGAGCAGGGGCCUCUUAAGCCCAAGGUCCCGGGUUCGAAUCCCGGAUCACCCA